This 449-nucleotide ribosomal RNA is filed under the name uncultured bacterium. RNAcentral describes it as "partial 16S ribosomal RNA". It matches the Rfam family "Bacterial small subunit ribosomal RNA", at positions 29 to 523 of the family's 1533-position model. The record is from RNAcentral.
AGUGAACGCUGGCGGUAGGCCUAACACAUGCAAGUCGAACGAACCCUUCGGGGUUAGUGGCGGACGGGUGAGUAACACGUGGGAACGUGCCUUUAGGUUCGGAAUAACUCAGGGAAACUUGUGCUAAUACCGAAUGUGCCCUUCGGGGGAAAGAUUUAUCGCCUUUAGAGCGGCCCGCGUCUGAUUAGCUAGUUGGUGAGGUAAUGGCUCACCAAGGCUACGAUCAGUAGCUGGUCUGAGAGGAUGACCAGCCACAUUGGGACUGAGACACGGCCCAAACUCCUACGGGAGGCAGCAGUGGGGAAUCUUGCGCAAUGGGCGAAAGCCUGACGCAGCCAUGCCGCGUGGAUGAUGAAGGUCUUAGGAUUGUAAAAUCCUUUCACCGGUGAAGAUAAUGACUGUAGCCGGAGAAGAAGCCCCGGCUAACUUCGUGCCAGCAGCCGCCGUAA